AUUGAACGCUGGCGGCAGGCCUAACACAUGCAAGUCGAACGAGUGGCGGACGGGUGAGUAAUGUCUGGGAAACUGCCUGAUGGAGGGGGAUAACUGCUGUAAACGGUAGCUAAUACCGCAUACCAUCAGAUGUGCCCAGAUGGGAUUAGCUAGUUGGUGGGGUAACGGCUCACCAAGGCGACGAUCCCUAGCUGGUCUGAGAGGAUGAGCAGCCACACUGGGACUGAGACACGGUCCAGACUCCUACGGGAGGCAGCAGUGGGGAAUCUUGCGCAAUGGGCGAAAGCCUGAUGCAGCCACGCCGCGUGUAUGAAGAAGGCCUUCGGGUUGUAAAGUACUUUCAUCGGGGAGGCGUUACCCACCGAAGAAGCACCGGCUAACUCCGUGCCAGCAGCCGCGGUAAUAC
RNAcentral lists this ribosomal RNA (406 nucleotides) under uncultured bacterium. RNAcentral describes it as "partial 16S ribosomal RNA". It matches the Rfam family "Bacterial small subunit ribosomal RNA", at positions 30 to 526 of the family's 1533-position model. The record is from RNAcentral.